This 407-nucleotide ribosomal RNA is filed under the name uncultured bacterium. RNAcentral describes it as "bacterial SSU rRNA". It matches the Rfam family "Bacterial small subunit ribosomal RNA", at positions 8 to 429 of the family's 1533-position model. The record is from RNAcentral.
AGAGUUUGAUCCUGGCUCAGAACGAACGCUGGCGGCAGGCCUAACACAUGCAAGUCGAACGCCGUAGCAAUACGGAGUGGCAGACGGGUGAGUAUCGCGUGGGAACAUACCCCUCGGUUCGGAAUAACUCAGGGAAACUUGAGCUAAUACCGGAUACGUCCGAGGUUUUAAUCGACCUUGGAGAAAGAUUUAUCGCCGGAGGAUUGGCCCGCGUCUGAUUAGCUUGUUGGUGAGGUAAUGGCUCACCAAGGCGACGAUCAGUAGCUGGUCUGAGAGGAUGAUCAGCCACAUUGGGACUGAGACACGGCCCAAACUCCUACGGGAGGCAGCAGUGGGGAAUAUUGGACAAUGGGCGAAAGCCUGAUCCAGCCAUGCCGCGUGAGUGAUGAAGGCCUUAGGGUUGUAAA